AUUGAACGCUGGCGGCAUGAUUUACACAUGCAAGUCGAACGGUAACAGGCCGCAAGGUGCUGACGAGUGGCGCACGGGUGCGUAAUGCAUCGGAACGUGCCCAGUCGUGGGGGAUAACUACUCGAAAGAGUAGCUAAUACCGCAUACGAUCUAUGGAUGACAGCGGGGGACCGUAAGGCCUCGCGCGAUUGGAGCGGCCGAUGUCAGAUUAGGUAGUUGGUGGGGUAAAGGCUCACCAAGCCAACGAUCUGUAGCUGGCCUGAGAGGACGACCAGCCACACUGGGACUGAGACACGGCCCAGACUCCUACGGGAGGCAGCAGUGGGGAAUUUUGGACAAUGGGCGCAAGCCUGAUCCAGCAAUGCCGCGUGCAGGAAGAAGGCCUUCGGGUUGUAAACUGCUUUUGUACGGAACGAAACGGCUCUGGUUAAUACCCGGGGCUAAUGACGGUACCGUAAGAAUAAGCACCGGCUAACUACGUG
RNAcentral lists this ribosomal RNA (482 nucleotides) under uncultured bacterium. RNAcentral's name for it is "partial 16S ribosomal RNA". It matches the Rfam family "Bacterial small subunit ribosomal RNA", at positions 30 to 507 of the family's 1533-position model. The record is from RNAcentral.